GACGAACGCUGGCGGCGUGCCUAAUACAUGCAAGUAGAACGCUGAAGAGAGGAGCUUACUCUUCUUGGAUGAGUUGCGAACGGGUGAGUAACGCGUAGGUAACCUGCCUUGUAGCGGGGGAUAACUAUUGGAAACGAUAGCUAAUACCGCAUAACAAUGGAUGACACAUGUCAUUUAUUUGAAAGGGGCAAUUGCUCCACUACAAGAUGGACCUGCGUUGUAUUAGCUAGUAGGUGAGGUAAUGGCUCACCUAGGCGACGAUACAUAGCCGACCUGAGAGGGUGAUCGGCCACACUGGGACUGAGACACGGCCCAGACUCCUACGGGAGGCAGCAGUAGGGAAUCGUCGGCAAUGGGGGCAACCCUGACCGAGCAACGCCGCGUGAGUGAAGAAGGUUUUCGGAUCGUAAAGCUCUGUUGUAAGUCAAGAACGGGUGUGAGAGUGGAAAGUUCACACUGUGACGGUAGCUUACCAGAAAGGGACGGCUAACUACGUG
RNAcentral lists this ribosomal RNA (497 nucleotides) under uncultured bacterium. RNAcentral's name for it is "partial 16S ribosomal RNA". It matches the Rfam family "Bacterial small subunit ribosomal RNA", at positions 28 to 507 of the family's 1533-position model. The record is from RNAcentral.